Loxodonta africana (African savanna elephant) is the source of this 129-nucleotide small nucleolar RNA. Ensembl annotates it as small nucleolar RNA SNORA11. Lineage: Eukaryota; Metazoa; Chordata; Mammalia; Proboscidea; Elephantidae. The record is from Ensembl.
UGGGUGUACUCAGAGCAGGGGGCCUCAAGAGUGGCUUCUCUGUUUAUAACACACCCAAGAGGAAUCUGGGCUCAUUGUGACAAGGGGCACACAGCUCAUGGCCUUCCUAUGAACAACACCCACACAGGU